ACGAACGCUGGCGGCGUGCUUAACACAUGCAAGUCGAACGGUAAGGCCCUUUCGGGGGUACACGAGUGGCGAACGGGUGAGUAACACGUGAGUAACCUGCCCUCAUCUCUGGGAUAACAGUCGGAAACGGUUGCUAAUACUGGAUAUGAGCCUGCAAGGCAUCUUGUGGGUUGGAAAGAUUUUUUGGUUGGGGAUGGACUCGCGGCCUAUCAGCUUGUUGGUGAGGUAGUGGCUCACCAAGGCUUCGACGGGUAGCCGGCCUGAGAGGGCGACCGGCCACAUUGGGACUGAGAUACGGCCCAAACUCCUACGGGAGGCAGCAGUGGGGAAUAUUGCACAAUGGACGGAAGUCUGAUGCAGCAACGCCGCGUGCGGGAUGACGGCCUUCGGGUUGUAAACCGCUUUCAAUUGUGACGAAGCUUUUUGUGACGGUAGCAGUAGAAGAAGCACCGGCUAACUACGUG
RNAcentral lists this ribosomal RNA (464 nucleotides) under uncultured bacterium. RNAcentral describes it as "partial 16S ribosomal RNA". It matches the Rfam family "Bacterial small subunit ribosomal RNA", at positions 29 to 507 of the family's 1533-position model. The record is from RNAcentral.